This 435-nucleotide ribosomal RNA is filed under the name uncultured bacterium. RNAcentral's name for it is "bacterial SSU rRNA". It matches the Rfam family "Bacterial small subunit ribosomal RNA", at positions 355 to 796 of the family's 1533-position model. The record is from RNAcentral.
UCGAGGAUCUUCGGCAAUGGGCGCAAGCCUGACCGAGCGACGCCGCGUGCGCGAUGAAGGCCUUCGGGUUGUAAAGCGCUGUCGAGGGGGAGGAAAGCCCGCAAGGGUCUGACUAAUCCCUGGAGGAAGCACGGGCUAAGUUCGUGCCAGCAGCCGCGGUAAGACGAACCGUGCGAACGUUGUUCGGAAUCACUGGGCUUAAAGGGCGCGUAGGCGGACCACCAAGUCGGGGGUGAAAUCUUUCAGCCCAACUGGAAAAGGGCUUCCGAUACUGGUGGUCUCGAGGGAGGUAGGGGUCGAGGGAACUGGUGGUGGAGCGGUGAAAUGCGUAGAUAUCACUAGGAACGCCGGUGGCGAAAGCGCUCGACUGGACCUCUUCUGACGCUGAGGCGCGAAAGCCAGGGGAGCAAACGGGAUUAGAUACCCCCGUAGUCC